RNAcentral lists this ribosomal RNA (301 nucleotides) under uncultured bacterium. RNAcentral's name for it is "partial 16S ribosomal RNA". It matches the Rfam family "Bacterial small subunit ribosomal RNA", at positions 509 to 808 of the family's 1533-position model. The record is from RNAcentral.
CAGCAGCCGCGGGAAUACGAAGGGGGCUAGCGUUGUUCGGAAUCACUGGGCGUAAAGCGCACGUAGGCGGAUACUUAAGUCAGGGGUGAAAUCCCGGGGCUCAACCUCGGAACUGCCUUUGAUACUGGGUAUCUUGAGUCCGGGAGAGGUUGGUGGAACUCCGAGUGUAGAGGUGAAAUUCGUAGAUAUUCGGAAGAACACCAGUGGCGGAGGCGGCCAACUGGCCCGGUACUGACGCUGAGGUGCGAAAGCGUGGGGAGCGAACAGGAUUAGAUACCCCCGUAGUCCCUGUCUCUUUACC